UACGAAGGGGGCUAGCGUUGCUCGGAAUUACUGGGCGUAAAGGGUGCGUAGGCGGGUUAUCAAGUCGCGUGUGAAAGCCCCCGGCUCAACUGGGGAGGGUCACGCGAUACUGAUCGACUCGAAGGCAGGAGAGGGUAGUGGAAUUCCCGGUGUAGUGGUGAAAUGCGUAGAUAUCGGGAGGAACACCAGUGGCGAAGGCGACUACCUGGCCUGUUCUUGACGCUGAGGCGCGAAAGCUAGGGGAGCAAACGGG
This 253-nucleotide ribosomal RNA is filed under the name uncultured bacterium. RNAcentral describes it as "partial 16S ribosomal RNA". It matches the Rfam family "Bacterial small subunit ribosomal RNA", at positions 524 to 776 of the family's 1533-position model. The record is from RNAcentral.